This 321-nucleotide small nuclear RNA is filed under the name Sorex araneus (European shrew). RNAcentral's name for it is "7SK RNA (ENSSARG00000017620.1)". It matches the Rfam family "7SK RNA", at positions 1 to 272 of the family's 331-position model. From Rfam's summary of the family: 7SK was discovered as an abundant small nuclear RNA in the mid-70s but a possible function has only recently been suggested. Two independent studies have found that 7SK RNA binds the CDK9/cyclin T complex (known as elongation factor P-TEFb). The record is from RNAcentral. Lineage: Eukaryota; Metazoa; Chordata; Mammalia; Eulipotyphla; Soricidae.
GUGUGCAAGGCAAACGCCCUGGCUGCGGCAUCUGUCACUCCAUUGAUCGCCAGGGCUGAUUCGGCUGAUUUGGCUGGCUAGGCCGGUGUCUUCUUCCUUCCUCAUCACUCCAUGUGAAUCCCUCCGAAGCUGUGGGCUUGGUCAAAGAGGAUGGCCUUCCCCGAAUAGAGACUGACCAGUCUUCAGUUGAGUGUAUACGAAUAGCUGCACUCCCCUGCUAGAACCUCCAAAUGAGCAUCACCAUAUGUGACCCAAAAUCAAGAAAUAAAUAAAGAGAAAGAAAAAAAAGAAAGGAAGGAAGAAAGAAAGAAAGAAAGAAAG